AAAUAACAUACAUACAACUCAUAACAUAUACACACAUAUAAACAAUACACAUCAAACACACCUCAUAACAUAUAUACACAACUCAUAACAUAUACACACACACAUAAAUAACAUAUAAACAACACAAAACUCACAACUCACAUAACACACACACAUACAAAUAACAUACUAUACACACAACUCAUAACAUAUACACAUACACAAACACACACAACACACGAACAACACACACUACAUACACAACUCAUAACACACACAUAAACAACACACUACACACACAUAUAACUUAUACACACAAC
This 299-nucleotide long non-coding RNA is filed under the name Musa acuminata (dwarf banana). RNAcentral describes it as "long non-coding RNA (MACU_LNC006870)". Lineage: Eukaryota; Viridiplantae; Streptophyta; Magnoliopsida; Zingiberales; Musaceae. The record is from RNAcentral.